This 253-nucleotide ribosomal RNA is filed under the name uncultured bacterium. Its description in RNAcentral is "partial 16S ribosomal RNA". It matches the Rfam family "Bacterial small subunit ribosomal RNA", at positions 524 to 776 of the family's 1533-position model. The record is from RNAcentral.
UACGAAGGGGGCUAGCGUUGCUCGGAAUCACUGGGCGUAAAGAGCGCGCAGGCGGUCGUUCAAGUCGCGUGUGAAAGCCCCCGGCUCAACUGGGGAGGGUCACGCGAUACUGAUCGACUGGAAGGCAGGAGAGGGUAGUGGAAUUCCCGGUGUAGUGGUGAAAUGCGCAGAUAUCAGGAGGAACACCGGUGGCGAAGGCGGGUCUCUGGGCCGAUAUUGACGCUGAGGAGCGAAAGCGUGGGGAGCAAACAGG